GUACAGUCUUUGCCUCAAUCACCUCACAUAGAGUAAGAGUGGUCAACAUUGUCUCCCCUGGAUGUAGGUGGCCUUGGAUCUAGCUGACCUUUGCUGUAGUCCGAUGUAGUGGUUGGUUAUCUGGUAGUGAUGCAGGAACUUGGACCUCAGCCACCAGGAGUUUGAGUCGGAACCAGAGCAUACGUAGGAAUGACGGGCACACUUAGAGCAGUCUCCAUCAUAACAAGCCACAGUCGCAUCCAGGACACUUGGUCAGUGUCGGUGUUUGGUUUCGGUCGUAGCAGCCGUGGAGCUCUGGAGAAUCCCUCACAGUCAGGGGUGGUUAGUGUUGAGCCGUCUGCAGACAUCUUGGUCACCAGAGAGAACUCGUCAGUGUUCAUCCGUGAAGUGGAAGGCUGUAUUUCAGGUUCAUUGUCAUCGGAAGAGGACACAGGCAGUUUCAAGUCUUUGUUCCAGGGAGUAUAACCCUUCUGGAAAUGUGUUUUCUUGCGAGAUUUUUCACCUUUUUUUUUCAUGGUUGUUUGGAUCAGUAAUGAAGCAAAUAGUGUUAUGAAUAGUGUGGCUAAAAAUUACCAUAUUUAUAGUGAAAACCUGUGUAUUAGACAGAAUAAGACAUGUGUGGCAUUUUUGGCAGGACACAGGACCCCGUAUAUUGAAAUAGGCCUCUGUGACAAGAGGUGUGAACGAGAAAAUUGUGAAUUCAAUUGGGAGAAAUGACAUUCUUUAAGGAGCUGUAUAUUGUACAGUGUUUGACAUGAACCCUAAAGUUGCCUGUCACUUAAUGGGCAUACAAGUGUUCUUUAAAAUGACACAAUAUAUUGAAUAUACAGGUUUUCUGAUUAUUUGCUGACUUUUGACAUUUGACUGUAAUGAUAAAAAAAAGUGGGUUCUUUUUUUCAGAAAGAUACUUUCUGGCAGAAUUUAACAUAUGCAUUAAAUCAUGUGUGUUUUCAGAUUACCAUGAAUGCAGAAAGAACAGCAUUUUUUAUUUCAUUCAAUUAUUCCUACUUUUAAAGAAGAUAUUGCAAUUUUAGUUUUUACAAUGCUGAAAUUGUCAUUCUCAGAAUUGUAGCAAAAAUAAUGUUUUCACCUGUCAUAGCUAUAUUGCUGGCAUUUUUCAUAUGCAUGAGUUAGAAUGUCCAAACUUCACCGGUUGUUUGCUGAUAUAUUAGAUAUGAACACCACGAAAUAUUAUUUGGGUUCGGCAAAGAUUUUGAGUUAAAUAGGUAAUAAGGUACAGUUACCUGCCCUUCGUUACCCAACUAAAGGAAAUGUAUCCGAGAGAAAAGAGGUCCCUCAUUUCAUGAUGGAUUUGAUUGUAAAUAGAUACCCUGAGCUUCUGAAAGUAGUCAAAUUUUAUAGAUCUGAUGUAAAUGAAGAGAAAGUGGUAAAACAUUGCUGGAAAAUCAUGUUUUUUUUUGGCAAAUGACUGUCUGCGGAUUUGUACAAAAAGUAGGCUGAACCGCUUCACUUUGUAAAAAUGCAAUACACUAUUCAUUCUGACAGAUGUGAGGAGAAAAGUAGCAGGUCAACAGGUCACUUAAAAGUGAUUUUUGUGUUUCUCUCGGAUAGAUUUCUAAAGAGAAGGUAUUUGCAUUUGUCUUCAGAACAUUGUGUCAAAGCCUUGCAUUGAUAUAUUUGUAUGUAACCCUAUGGGAAAUUAAUUGUACUUUUGGG
Long non-coding RNA from Mercenaria mercenaria, 1677 nucleotides. RefSeq lists it as uncharacterized. The record is from RefSeq and is a predicted model, not a curated record. The transcript has 3 exons. NCBI's taxonomy places the organism in Eukaryota, Metazoa, Mollusca, Bivalvia, Venerida, Veneridae.